This is a small nuclear RNA of Ursus americanus (American black bear), 106 nucleotides long. The record is from Ensembl. NCBI's taxonomy places the organism in Eukaryota, Metazoa, Chordata, Mammalia, Carnivora, Ursidae.
AUGCUCAUUUUGGCACACAUAUACUAAAACUGGAAUGAUACCGAGAAGAUUAGCAUGACCCCUGCACAAGGAUGACAGACAAAUUUGUGAAGCAUUCCAUAUUUAA